RNAcentral lists this ribosomal RNA (400 nucleotides) under uncultured bacterium. RNAcentral's name for it is "bacterial SSU rRNA". It matches the Rfam family "Bacterial small subunit ribosomal RNA", at positions 359 to 775 of the family's 1533-position model. The record is from RNAcentral.
GGAUUUUGCCCAAUGGAUGAAAGUCUGAGGCAGCAACUCCGCGUGAGGGAUGAAGGCUCUCGGGUCGUAAACCUCUUUUCUCAGGGAAGAUCCAAGAAGGUACCUGAGGAAUAAGCCUCGGCUAACUACGUGCCAGCAGCCGCGGUAAUACGUAGGUGGCAAGCGUUGUCCGGAUUUACUGGGCGUAAAGAGCGCGCAGGCGGCCGGUCAAGUCCGAUGUGAAAGCUCCCGGCUCAACUGGGAAACGGCAUCGGAAACUGAUCGGCUUGAAGGUGGGAGAGGGUAGUGGAAUUCCCGGUGUAGUGGUGAAAUGCGUAGAUAUCGGGAGGAACACCAGUGGCGAAGGCGACUACCUGGCCCAUUCUUGACGCUGAGGCGCGAAAGCUAGGGGAGCGAACGG